This 440-nucleotide ribosomal RNA is filed under the name uncultured bacterium. RNAcentral's name for it is "partial 16S ribosomal RNA". It matches the Rfam family "Bacterial small subunit ribosomal RNA", at positions 338 to 795 of the family's 1533-position model. The record is from RNAcentral.
CCUACGGGGGGCAGCAGUAGGGAAUAUUGCUCAAUGGGGGAAACCCUGAAGCAGCAACGCCGCGUGGAGGAUGAAGGUUUUCGGAUUGUAAACUCCUUUUGUUAAAGAAGAUAAUGACGGUAUCUAACGAAUCAGCACAGUCUAACUCCGUUCCAGCAGCCGCGGUAAUACGGAGGGUGCAAGCGUUAUUCGGAGUCACUGGGCGUAAAGAGAGCGUAGGGGGGAUAGCAAGUCAGAUGUGAAAGCCUAGGGGUUAACCAUAGAACUGCAUUUGAAACUGUUAUUCUAGAGUAGAGGAGAGGUAGGUGGAAUUCUUGGUGUAGCGGUAAAAUCCGUAGAGAUCAAGAGGAAUACUCAUUGCGAAGGCGACCUGCUAGAACAUAACUGACGCUGAUGCGCGAAAGCGUGGGGAGCAAACAGGAUUAGAUACCCCUGUAGUC